GAUGAACGCUGGCGGCGUGCCUAAUACAUGCAAGUCGAGCGAACAGACGAGGAGCUUGCUCCUCUGACGUUAGCGGCGGACGGGUGAGUAACACGUGGAUAACCUACCUAUAAGACUGGGAUAACUUCGGGAAACCGGAGCUAAUACCGGAUAAUAUAUUGAACCGCAUGGUUCAAUAGUGAAAGACGGUUUUGCUGUCACUUAUAGAUGGAUCCGCGCCGCAUUAGCUAGUUGGUAUGGUAACGGCUUACCAAGGCAACGAUGCGUAGCCGACCUGAGAGGGUGAUCGGCCACACUGGAACUGAGACACGGUCCAGACUCCUACGGGAGGCAGCAGUAGGGAAUCUUCCGCAAAGGGCGAAAGCUUGACGGAGCAACGCCGCGUGAGUGAUGAAGGUCUUCGGAUCGUAAAACUCUGUUAUUAGGGAAGAACAAAUGUGUAAGUAACUAUGCACGUCUUGACGGUACCUAAUCAGAAAGCCACGGCUAACUACGUG
This 497-nucleotide ribosomal RNA is filed under the name uncultured bacterium. Its description in RNAcentral is "partial 16S ribosomal RNA". It matches the Rfam family "Bacterial small subunit ribosomal RNA", at positions 28 to 507 of the family's 1533-position model. The record is from RNAcentral.